Long non-coding RNA from Drosophila mauritiana, 1640 nucleotides. RefSeq lists it as uncharacterized. Lineage: Eukaryota; Metazoa; Arthropoda; Insecta; Diptera; Drosophilidae. The transcript has 2 exons. The record is from RefSeq and is a predicted model, not a curated record.
GUGCGUUGUUUACGAAAAACAAAAAACAGAACGCCACCAGCUACAAACACACGAAGAAAAACAAAAUAAAAAAACGAAACGAAAAUUCCAAAAAGACACUUACGAAAGCCCCACAGCAUUUUUUAUUGUUCCGUAGAUUACAACAUAUAGGAAAACGCUAGAAGCGCUGAAGAAUUUUCGGGGGCGAGAAGAAGAGUGCGCUACACGCCGAUAUAUCGGUAUACUGAUGCGACAAAAUGCAAAAGUAGCACAGAUUCAAAUGCAGAUAGGGAUACUCUUCUCGCCGGCUUGGAAGAAGAAGGCGGCUGGAAGGGGAGCGACUGGAAGGGGCGGACAGUGUCGGUUUGUUUGUGGAAUGCCGUUUUGUAAGUUUCUUAUGCAUGCGCCUUCAAACAUAGUUCGGCAUCGAAACUUUCUAGCACACCGACACACAUACGAACGCGAUCCAGCCGACACACACACACGCACGCAGCCACACACUUAAGCGACUUUCGAAAGGUACAACUUUUAACGAAGUCGCUGCCUCAGCCGCUGCUCAGCCGACGCCACUGCCGCUGCCGCUGCCGCCGCCGCUGCCUCUGUCGACUUCGAAUUCCAACGCCAAGAUGAAAGAUCGGCGCAAAAGAAAAGAAAUAUUCAUUCAGUAAAAUUUCAUAGCUGCAGCCGCAUGGUUGUGCCGCUCUCGCCUGCUCUUGCUUUUCGCGCAACAAACCGAAACGAGAAACACAUAAAUAUCAAAGUGUGAACACUAGCGUACAUAUAAAGACUUUAAAACUAAACUUAACUUAACUUGAGCAACAUGAGUAACGAAUGAACACGGGAAAGCGGUUCCAGCGAAGAGGUUACAAGGAGAGCAGACACAACCGCAUUCCAGAAAGUUUAAAUAACGCUGGAAGAAGGGGGAAAGUGGAAAACUAAACUCGAACUCGAAUUCAGUGUGCCAGUGUAUGUGUGUGGAAUGCAGAAGAGGAAGAAGCAGCAGCAGCAGAAUAAGCAGCGAAUAGAAAAUAUGUCUUCAAACUGGUUUUUCGGUUUUUAGACUGUCGUCGUCGGCCAAUCGGGUUCCAUUGACAUCCGAACGAAAAAAUAAUGCCUAACCUUCGAUGGGAACACUCCGUGAGUCAUGCGACUGAGCGUGGGUUUUUGAGACCCGUUUCAUUCUUCCCGACUCGACGAUCCUAACCUUCACUGGGAACAGGAGUUAGCCGCCAGAACGUGAAUGGGAACAGAAUCGGGAACGUGAACAGUCAUAAAAGUUGCAUCACUCAGCACAAAAAGACGAAGAGGCGGGCAGACGGAGACACAAACAAGUCAACCACCAGCAUAGAAUGCGGCUGCCAGACAGGCGAGACGGCAAUAGUAGUGGCGGCAAGAAAAGGCGCGACAAGCAGAAGAACCGUUUUACUGAGAAAAGAAGAGCGUGCACGCGGCGUCAGGGUGCGAGCGGGAUAGCAAAACAGGCAAAGGGAAAAGGGACAGAAAAACACUGAGAGAAAUGAGAGUAAGGUGAACAUGAAAAUUAAGAUCUUAACUGAACUCGUAUAUUCUUUGCAGCAAUACUUUGGUUAAACGACAGUCAAUGAAAAUUUUUUUAACAUCGUAAGAAAUUGCACCAUAUAUGUUUACAAGGUUGAGAGUCG